CUUGAAGCAGACGGUGGCGUUUCACUGUGCAAGGAAGGAGGCGAGGUAAGUUAGAUGUCCUCGUCUGCAACUGUAAGGCACAUGAUUCCGCUUCUUAAACUCUGCCCUCUCCUUUUCUGUCAAAAGCACACAAAUUUUGAAUAAAGUCACCAUGAAAGCUGGCUUCAUCUUCUUUCCAAUUAGAGAUGUAUAUAUAUGUGUGGAGGCAAGCAUUUUGGAUUGUGAGUGAGUAAUGGUGACAACUUUUGGCACGCAUAACGAAGAAGCUUCUCCUUUCUUCUGGGUGGUCUUUCUGAAUUGGUGAACUAGUUGAAGAAGAAUCUGAUCCUAAAGGUAAAGCAAAUUUUGGUAAGAUGCUGUUUUUCUUUUUUUCUGAGAUUUGAAUGAUAUGAAUGGAAUUGCAGAAGCUUCAUAUACACCCUAGAAUAUUAGCUGAGAAUAGAAAAUUGUAGCCCUGAUACUUGGAUUAGGUGCCUUCUCUUUUUAUUUUUCUAUUCAGCAUCCAAUCAAAGUUUG
Long non-coding RNA from Mangifera indica (mango), 516 nucleotides. RefSeq lists it as uncharacterized. The transcript is spliced from 2 exons. Lineage: Eukaryota; Viridiplantae; Streptophyta; Magnoliopsida; Sapindales; Anacardiaceae. The record is from RefSeq and is a predicted model, not a curated record.